UGGUGCAGCAGCCGCGGUAUUCCAGCUCCAAUAGCGUAUAUUAAAAUUGUUGCAGUUAAAAAGCUCGUAGUUGAAUUUCUGCUACAUUGCCUAUUCUCCUUUACGAGUUUGGGUCUUUUGUGGCUUAUCUGGGUUCGCUUGCGUUCCCGGUGUUUUACUUUGAGAAAAUUAGAGUGCUCAAAGCAGGCUUUUGCCUUGAAUAGUUUAGCAUGGAAUAAUAAAGUAGGACUUUGGUUCUAUUUUGUUGGUUUUAGGUACCAAAGUAAUGGUUAAUAGGAACAGUUGGGGGCAUUCGUAUUUAACUGUCAGAGGUGAAAUUCUUAGAUUUGUUAAAGACGAACUACUGCGAAAGCAUUUGCCAAGGAUGUUUUCAUUAAUCAAGAACGAAAGUUAGGGGAUCGAAGACGAUCAGAUACCGUCGUAGUCCUAACCAUAAACUAUGCCGACUAGAGAUUGGAGGUCGUCAGUUUUUACGACUCCUUCAGCACCUUGAGAGAAAUCAAAGUCUUUGGGUUCUGGGGGGAGUAUGGCUCCACGAUACUCCUCAGCAUGAAANNUUCUCUUUCAUUC
This 570-nucleotide ribosomal RNA is filed under the name Theileria velifera. RNAcentral describes it as "SSU rRNA". It matches the Rfam family "Eukaryotic small subunit ribosomal RNA", at positions 562 to 1134 of the family's 1831-position model. Lineage: Eukaryota; Apicomplexa; Aconoidasida; Piroplasmida; Theileriidae. The record is from RNAcentral.